CCUACGGGCGGCAGCAGUGAGGAAUAUUGGUCAAUGGGCGCGAGCCUGAACCAGCCAAGUAGCGUGAAGGAUGACUGCCCUACGGGUUGUCACCUUCUUUUAUAAAGGAAUAAAGUGAGGCACGUGUGCCUUUUUGUAUGUACUUUAUGAAUAAGGAUCGGCUAACUCCGUGCCAGCAGCCGCGGUAAUACGGAGGAUCCGAGCGUUAUCCGGAGUUAUUGGGUUUAAAGGGAGCGUAGAUGGGUUGUUAAGUUAGUUGUGAAAUUUUGCGGCUCAACCGUAAAAUUGCAAUUGAUACUGGCAGCCUUGAGGACAGUUGAGGUAGGCGGAAUGCGUGGUGUAGCGGUGAAAUGCUUAGAUAUCACGAAGAACUCCGAUUGCGAAGGCAGCUUACUAAACUGCCACUGACAUUGAUGCUCGAAAGUGUGGGUAUCAAACAGGAUUAGAUACCCUAGUAGUC
Molecule: ribosomal RNA, 460 nt
Filed under: uncultured bacterium
Lineage: Bacteria
Description: partial 16S ribosomal RNA
Rfam family: Bacterial small subunit ribosomal RNA
Source: RNAcentral